Long non-coding RNA from Clupea harengus (Atlantic herring), 438 nucleotides. RefSeq lists it as uncharacterized. The record is from RefSeq and is a predicted model, not a curated record. NCBI's taxonomy places the organism in Eukaryota, Metazoa, Chordata, Actinopteri, Clupeiformes, Clupeidae. The transcript has 2 exons.
GAAGUUUAACCUAAAUAGCGUCUCACCAGCUGAUGUUCUUGCUUAGGCCUCGGGAAUGCCCAGCAUGUGUGUUGGACUGCAGGGCUGCCAGGUGGACAUGGAGGAGAGCAGGACCAGGACCAGUGGAUGAUCUACACCAGACUAAUCUACCAGCUGAUCUCCCUGCUCAGACACUGUAGUGUUCUCAGAUAGGCGCUCAUCUGCCUGGCCUGAGGAUUGAGGAAUGCAGGUGUGUGUGUGUGUGUGUGUGUGUGUGUGUGUGUGUGUGUGUGUGUGUGUGUGUAUAGUUCACUGAUGGAAGUAGAUCUUUGCUGCCUUAAGACCCGUUCAGGCCCUUUACAGCAGCACAGAACACAGUAAGACCAAUGAGUGUGCGUGUCUCAGGUGAAUGUCUUAUAUUUAUAAAUGUAAUUUGUUAAUAAAAAUAAAUCAAAUGUG